GACGAACGCUGGCGGCGUGCUUAACACAUGCAAGUCGAACGGAAAGGCCCUGCUUGCAGGGUACUCGAGUGGCGAACGGGUGAGUAACACGUGGGUGAUCUGCCCUGCACUUCGGGAUAAGCCUGGGCAACUGGGUCUAAUACCGGAUAGGAGCCAUUUUUAGUGUGAUGGUUGGAAAGUUUUUUCGGUGUAGGAUGAGCUCGCGGCCUAUCAGCUUGUUGGUGGGGUAAUGGCCUACCAAGGCGGCGACGGGUAGCCGGCCUGAGAGGGUGGACGGCCACAUUGGGACUGAGAGACGGCACAGACUGCUAAGGGAGGCAGCAGUGGGGAAUAUUGAACAAUGGGCGCAAGCCUGAUGCAGAGGCGCCGCGUGGGGGAUGACGGCCUUCGGGGUGUAAACUCCUUUCGCAAGGGACGAAGCUUUUUGUGACGGUACCUAGAUAAGAAGCACCGGCUAACUACGUG
Molecule: ribosomal RNA, 465 nt
Filed under: uncultured bacterium
Lineage: Bacteria
Description: partial 16S ribosomal RNA
Rfam family: Bacterial small subunit ribosomal RNA
Source: RNAcentral